AGAGCCUGAACCGUCAUGGGGGAAGCGAGUGGUGUUGCAUUGAAGGGCCGUUGUGUGUUCAGCCCGAAAGGGUGUAUUGGCAUGGCGGCUUACCUGUCGUGGGUUCUGGGCCGUGGAUUUUGCACGGCUCGGGGCUGAGGGCUCCCAAUUUGGUGAGGACGACCGGGCGUUGACACGAUUCGACCCGUCUUGAAACACGGACCAAGGAGUCUAGCGCGGCUGCGAGUCGAAGGGUGCAAGCCUGAAGGCAAAGUGAACGCGAGUGUAAAACGAGCAGUUUGGGGCGGCAUGGGAUCGUUGAUUCCAAGUCUGACCUUGAGCAGUUGCGCUGGGACCCGAAAGAUGGUGAACUAUGCCGGAGUAGGGCAAAGCCAGAGGAAACUCUGGUGGAGGCUCGUAGCGGUGCUGACGUGCAAAUCGCUCGUCGAACUUGGGUAUAGGGGCGAAAGACUAAUCGAACCAUCUAGUAGCUGGUUCCCUCCGAAGUUUCUCUCAGGAUAGCGGGCCGACGGUGUUGUUUUGUGCGGUAAAGCGAAUGAUUAGCGCACUCGGGGGCAGUUUGCCUUCGGGCGAUUCUCAAACUUUCAAUGCGCAAGGGUGCCGCUGCUUUGGUGAGCGGUACCGGCAAAAACGUCGGCCCUGUGGGCCACUUUUGGUAAGCAGAACUGGCGAUACGGGAUGAACCGUAAGCGUGGUUAAGGCGCCUAACUGCCCGCUUA
This 719-nucleotide ribosomal RNA is filed under the name Metacallophyllis laciniata. RNAcentral describes it as "partial 28S ribosomal RNA". It matches the Rfam family "Eukaryotic large subunit ribosomal RNA", at positions 394 to 1203 of the family's 3401-position model. The record is from RNAcentral. Lineage: Eukaryota; Rhodophyta; Florideophyceae; Gigartinales; Kallymeniaceae.